Molecule: ribosomal RNA, 558 nt
Filed under: uncultured bacterium
Lineage: Bacteria
Description: bacterial SSU rRNA
Rfam family: Bacterial small subunit ribosomal RNA
Source: RNAcentral
GGGAUGAGCUUGCGUCCGAUUAGAUAGUUGGUGGGGUAAAGGCCUACCAAGUCGACGAUCGGUAGCCGGACUGAGAGGUUGAACGGCCACAUUGGAACUGAGAUACGGUCCAGACUCUACGGGAGGCAGCAGUGGGGAAUAUUGGGCAAUGGGGGAAACCCUGACCCAGCAACGCCGCGUGAGGGAAGAAGGUUUUCGGAUCGUAAACCUCUGUCCUUGGUGAAGAGGAAGAGGCGGUAGCCAAGGAGGAAGCCCCGGCUAACUACGUGCCAGCAGCCGCGGUAAUACGAGGGGUGCAAGCGUUGUUCGGAAUCACUGGGCGUAAAGGGAGCGCAGGCGGAGAUGCAAGCGGACUGUACAAUACCGGGGCCCAACCCCGGACCUGCAGACUGGACUGUUUCUCUUGGAUAGCUCAGGGGCUGGCGGAAUUCCUGGUGUAGCGGUGGAAUGCGUAGAGAUCAGGAAGAACACCGAUGGCGAAGGCAGCCUGCUGGGGACUUAUCGACGCUGAGGCUCGAAAGUGCGGGUAGCAAACAGGAUUAGAUACCCUGGUAGUCC